UGACUCUCUUUCCCUACACGAUCCCCUCUUGUCUCUUUGCUAACUCACCAUCAAACUGGGCCAUCUUUUCACACAGCUUGACUUCUCCGAGAACAGCCUUGAACUGAGGCUGGUUGACGCAGGUGACAAAC
This is a long non-coding RNA of Xiphophorus hellerii (green swordtail), 131 nucleotides long. RefSeq lists it as uncharacterized. The transcript has 3 exons. NCBI's taxonomy places the organism in Eukaryota, Metazoa, Chordata, Actinopteri, Cyprinodontiformes, Poeciliidae. The record is from RefSeq and is a predicted model, not a curated record.